Molecule: ribosomal RNA, 497 nt
Filed under: uncultured bacterium
Lineage: Bacteria
Description: partial 16S ribosomal RNA
Rfam family: Bacterial small subunit ribosomal RNA
Source: RNAcentral
GAUGAACGCUGGCGGCGUGCCUAAUACAUGCAAGUCGAGCGAACAGACGAGGAGCUUGCUCCUCUGACGUUAGCGGCGGACGGGUGAGUAACACGUGGAUAACCUACCUAUAAGACUGGGAUAACUUCGGGAAACCGGAGCUAAUACCGGAUAAUAUAUUGAACCGCAUGGUUCAAUAGUGAAAGACGGUUUUGCUUUCACUUAUAGAUGGAUCCGCGCCGCAUUAGCUAGUUGGUAAGGUAACGGCUUACCAAGGCAACGAUGCGUAGCCGACCUGAGAGGGUGAUCGGCCACACUGGAACUGAGACACGGUCCAGACUCCUACGGGAGGCAGCAGUAGUGAAUCUUCCGCAAUGGGCGAAAGCCUGACGGAGCAACGCCGCGUGAGUGAUGAAGGUCUUCGGAUCGUAAAACUCUGUUAUUAGGGAAGAACAAAUGUGUAAGUAACUAUGCACGUCUUGACGGUACCUAAUCAGAAAGCCACGGCUAACUACGUG